This 106-nucleotide small nuclear RNA is filed under the name Meleagris gallopavo (turkey). Its description in RNAcentral is "7SK RNA". It matches the Rfam family "7SK RNA", at positions 2 to 107 of the family's 331-position model. From Rfam's summary of the family: 7SK was discovered as an abundant small nuclear RNA in the mid-70s but a possible function has only recently been suggested. The record is from Rfam by way of RNAcentral. Lineage: Eukaryota; Metazoa; Chordata; Aves; Galliformes; Phasianidae.
GAUGUGAGGGCGAUCUGGCUGUGACAUCUGUUACUCCACUGAUUGCCAGGGUUGAUUCGGCUGAUCUGGCUGGCUAGGCGGGUAUCCCCUUCCUCCUUUUACUAUC